AUUGAACGCUGGCGGCAUGCUUUACACAUGCAAGUCGAACGGUAACAGGCCGCAAGGUGCUGACGAGUGGCGAACGGGUGAGUAAUGCAUCGGAACGUGCCCAGUCGUGGGGGAUAACGCAGCGAAAGUUGCGCUAAUACCGCAUACGAUCUAUGGAUGAAAGCGGGGGACCGUAAGGCCUCGCGCGAUUGGAGCGGCCGAUGUCAGAUUAGGUAGUUGGUGGGGUAAAGGCUCACCAAGCCGACGAUCUGUAGCUGGUCUGAGAGGACGACCAGCCACACUGGGACUGAGACACGGCCCAGACUCCUACGGGAGGCAGCAGUGGGGAAUUUUGGACAAUGGGCGCAAGCCUGAUCCAGCAAUGCCGCGUGCAGGAAGAAGGCCUUCGGGUUGUAAACUGCUUUUGUACGGAACGAAACGGUCCUGGUUAAUACCCGGGGCUAAUGACGGUACCGUAAGAAUAAGCACCGGCUAACUACGUGCCAGCCGCCGCAGUAA
RNAcentral lists this ribosomal RNA (498 nucleotides) under uncultured bacterium. Its description in RNAcentral is "partial 16S ribosomal RNA". It matches the Rfam family "Bacterial small subunit ribosomal RNA", at positions 30 to 523 of the family's 1533-position model. The record is from RNAcentral.